UGUAACAAGGUCUCCGUUGGUGAACCAGCGGAGGGAUCAUUACAGAGUUGAAAAACUCCAACCCCUGUGAACCUACCUUUACUGUUGCUUCGGCGGACGAUGGCCCCAGGGCCGGACGCCGCCGGAGGUUACAAACCCUGAAUUUUUAGUGUAUCUCUGAGCACAAAAACAAAUAAUUAAAACUUUCAACAACGGAUCUCUUGGUUCUGGCAUCGAUGAAGAACGCAGCGAAAUGCGAUAAGUAAUGUGAAUUGCAGAAUUCAGUGAAUCAUCGAAUCUUUGAACGCACAUUGCGCCCGCCGGUAUUCCGGCGGGCAUGCCUGUCCGAGCGUCAUUUCACCACUCAAGCCCAGCUUGGUGUUGGGGCACCCGGCCGCCCGGCGGUCGGGGCCCCCAAGAACAUCGGCGGUCUCGCUGGGACCCUGAACGCAGUAACUCGCGGUAAAACGCGCUUCGUUCGGAGGCUUUUCCCGGCGGGCUCCAGCCGUUAAAACCCCCUAAAAUUCUUAGGUUGACCUCGGAUCAGGUAGGAAUACCCGCUGAACUUAAGCAUAUCAUAA
RNAcentral lists this ribosomal RNA (560 nucleotides) under Magnaporthaceae sp. DR6-4. RNAcentral's name for it is "eukaryotic LSU rRNA". The stretch from base 181 to 334 matches the Rfam family "5.8S ribosomal RNA". Lineage: Eukaryota; Fungi; Ascomycota; Sordariomycetes; Magnaporthales; Magnaporthaceae. The record is from RNAcentral.